AGGCUGUCCGCAGCUGGAGUAUUUUAUUACCCUUGUCUUUUGCGCACUUGUUGUUUCCUGGGCGGGUUCGCUCGCCACCAGGACCACCAAAUAAACCUUUUUUAUGCAGUUGCAAUCAGCGUCAGUACAAACAAUGUAAAUCAUUUACAACUUUCAACAACGGAUCUCUUGGUUCUGGCAUCGAUGAAGAACGCAGCGAAAUGCGAUACGUAGUGUGAAUUGCAGAAUUCAGUGAAUCAUCGAAUCUUUGAACGCACAUUGCGCCCUUUGGUAUUCCAAAGGGCAUGCCUGUUCGAGCGUCAUUUGUACCCUCAAGCUUUGCUUGGUGUUGGGCGUUUUUGUCUUUGGUCGCCCAAAGACUCGCCUUAAAGUGAUUGGCAGCCGGCCUUUCUGGUUUCGCAGCGCAGCACAUUUUUGCGCUUGCCAUCAGCAAAACGGCAAUCCAUCAAGCCUCCUUCUCACGUUUGACCUCGGAUCAGGUAGGGAUACCCGCUGAACUUAAGCAUAUCAAUAA
This 514-nucleotide ribosomal RNA is filed under the name Curvularia lunata. Its description in RNAcentral is "eukaryotic LSU rRNA". The stretch from base 149 to 302 matches the Rfam family "5.8S ribosomal RNA". Lineage: Eukaryota; Fungi; Ascomycota; Dothideomycetes; Pleosporales; Pleosporaceae. The record is from RNAcentral.